This 506-nucleotide ribosomal RNA is filed under the name uncultured bacterium. RNAcentral's name for it is "partial 16S ribosomal RNA". It matches the Rfam family "Bacterial small subunit ribosomal RNA", at positions 28 to 523 of the family's 1533-position model. The record is from RNAcentral.
GAUGAACGCUAGCUACAGGCUUAACACAUGCGAGUCGAGGGGUAACGAGAGGGAAGCUUGCUUUCCUUGUCGACGACCGGCGCACGGGUGAGUAACGCGUAUCCAACCUGCCCCCAACUAGGGAAUAACCUUGCGAAAGUAAGACUAAUACCCUAUAAUUUCCUCAGAUGUCAUCUGACGAGGAAUAAAGAUUUAUCGGUUGUGGAUGGGGAUGCGUCUGAUUAGCUUGUUGGCGGGGUAACGGCCCACCAAGGCAACGAUCAGUAGGGGUUCUGAGAGGAAGGUCCCCCACAUUGGGACUGAGAAACGGUCAAAACUCCUACGGGAGGCAGCAGUGAGGAAUAUUGGUCAAUGGGCGGAAGCCUGAACCAGCCAAGUAGCGUGCAGGAUGACGGCCCUAUGGGUUGUAAACUGCUUUUAUACAGGAAUAAAGUUAGCCACGUGUGGUUAUUUGUAGGUACUGUAUGAAUAAGGACCGGCUAAUUCCGUGCCAGCAGCCGCAGUAA